RNAcentral lists this ribosomal RNA (477 nucleotides) under uncultured bacterium. Its description in RNAcentral is "bacterial SSU rRNA". It matches the Rfam family "Bacterial small subunit ribosomal RNA", at positions 328 to 793 of the family's 1533-position model. The record is from RNAcentral.
UCAGUCGACUCCUACGGGGAGGCAGCAGUGGGGAAUAUUGCACAAUGGGGGAAACCCUGAUGCAGCCAUGCCGCGUGUGUGAAGAAGGCCUUCGGGUUGUAAAGCACUUUCAGUAGGGAGGAAGGUAGUGUAGCUAACACCUGCACUAUUUGACGUUACCUACAGAAGAAGCACCGGCUAACUCCGUGCCAGCAGCCGCGGUAAUACGGAGGGUGCGAGCGUUAAUCGGAAUUACUGGGCGUAAAGCGCAUGCAGGCGGCCUGUUAAGUCAGAUGUGAAAGCCCGGGGCUUAACCUCGGAAUUGCAUUUGAAACUGGAAGGCUAGAGUCUUGUAGAGGGGGGUAGGAAUUUCAGGUGUAGCGGUGAAAUAGCGUAGAGAUCUGAAGGAAUACCAGUGGCGAAGGCGGCCCCCUCGGACAAAGACUGACGCUCAGAUGCGAAAGCGUGGGGAGCAAACAGGAUUAGAUACCCUGGUAG